ACGCUGGCGGCAGGCUUAACACAUGCAAGUCGAACGCUCGUAGCAAUACGGGAGUGGCAGACGGGUGAGUAACGCGUGGGAACAUACCCUCCGGUUCGGAAUAGCUCAGGGAAACUUGGAUUAAUACCGGAUACGGCUGAGAGGCGAAAGAUUUAUCGCCGGAGGAUUGGCCCGCGUUCGAUUAGCUAGUUGGUGAGGUAAUGGCUCACCAAGGCGAUGAUCGAUAGCUGGUCUGAGAGGAUGAUCAGCCACAUUGGGACCGAGACACGGCCCAAACUCCUACGGGAGGCAGCAGUGGGGAAUAUUGGACAAUGGGCGCAAGCCUGAUCCAGCCAUGCCGCGUGAGUGAUGACGGCCUUAGGGUUGUAAAGCUCUUUCGCUCGGGACGAUAAUGACGGUACCGAGAUAAGAAGCCCCGGCUAACUUCGUGCCAGCAGCCGCGGUAAUACGAAGGGGGCUAGCGUUGUUCGGAAUUACUGGGCGUAAAGCGCGUGUAGGCGGGUCUUUAAGUCAGGGGUGAAAUGCCAAGGCUCAACCUUGGAACUGCCUUUGAUACUGGA
RNAcentral lists this ribosomal RNA (560 nucleotides) under uncultured bacterium. RNAcentral describes it as "bacterial SSU rRNA". It matches the Rfam family "Bacterial small subunit ribosomal RNA", at positions 33 to 637 of the family's 1533-position model. The record is from RNAcentral.